RNAcentral lists this long non-coding RNA (827 nucleotides) under Lactuca sativa (garden lettuce). RNAcentral describes it as "long non-coding RNA (LSAT_LNC007518)". The record is from RNAcentral. Lineage: Eukaryota; Viridiplantae; Streptophyta; Magnoliopsida; Asterales; Asteraceae.
GUGUGUCUAAACAAUUCAGACUAAUUGCCAAAUCUCACAAUUCGAAUCAUGGAAAGGGAUACCGUAACCAUAAUCGAAUUCGAGAAUUCAAUUUCACAAUCACUAUCUUCUUAAAAUCUUUCUUAGUGAAAGCAUUUCCUCACAGUCACUUUCAUGAAGGAGGGAAUCUUAUGACACUUAGAUUUUAAUGGUGUAUGUGUUCCUAUCCAUGUGAAUUUGUCAAAACCAAAGUUUACGACAAAUUCAAACUCAUAUGGACCGAACUUUCUUAAUCUUGAUUUCUUGCCUUAUGGUAGCACGGCUGCCCACCAUGUCUUCCAAGUAGUUAAGCAGCUUACCCUUUCCUAUCAAUGUACUUUCCAUUGAUCAAGGUCCUUGCCUUUUAUGCAUUCAAAUGAGAACUCAUAGGNUGCCUUUUAUGCAUUCAAAUGAGAACUUAUAGGACCCACAUGCAUAAUUAACUCAAUCGGAACGGCACAGAAACAAAAUAGUGUCAAUGCGAUAGGUUGUAAACCUCAACUCAUGUGCUAGUGAUGAUCAAUAAGGUCUAUUUUGAUUUGUUCUUGAAACCUUUCAAGACCAUUAAGACUCCCACUAACUCCUUGACAUAUAAGAUUCUCUUGUCAAUAAACAUUUCUUGACAAACAAAUAUUCAAGAGUUAGUGUAGUUUUUAUCAAAACACUUCAUAAAUUGGUCCUAGUUGGUCUUUGUCUUAUCCAAGACAUCACAACUUUCCACAUUUGAUGAAUGUUAUAAACCUUCUUAAUACUUAUCACUCAAUGUCACAAUCUUAACUCUAAGACUUGUUUUGGAACGAAGUAUGAUU